RNAcentral lists this long non-coding RNA (1745 nucleotides) under Ananas comosus (pineapple). RNAcentral's name for it is "long non-coding RNA (ACOM_LNC031703)". Lineage: Eukaryota; Viridiplantae; Streptophyta; Magnoliopsida; Poales; Bromeliaceae. The record is from RNAcentral.
CUCUCUCUCUCUCUCUCUCUCUAUAUAUAUAUAUAUAUAUAGUCCGGCUGUGAUACUAUCGAUAGCACGAAAUAUUUGGUGCUAUCAAAUUUUCUGUUAUUAGAUUUAUCUCUUUUAUCAUUUUUAUCCGUUCGAUUAUACUAUUCAACCAACCACUCACUCAACUCUAGGGGGGCCGCAUCAUCCUAACCGCACAUCUUUUAAUCCAAGGGCAGAAAACUUAAUAGCACCAAGUCAUUGGUGCUAUUAAUAGUAUUCCAACCUAGUUUUAUAUAUAUAUAUAUAUAGAACUAGACUACUAUGCUAUUAAUAGCACUGAGUCAUUGGUGCUACUAAGUUUUUUGCUAUUGUAUUAAGAGAUGUAUGGUUAGGAUGAUGUGGGCUCCCUAGGGUUGAAUGGGUGGUUGGUUGAAUAAUAUGAUCUAACGGGAGAAAAUGAUCAAAAGGGUAUAUUUAACGGCGGAAAACUUGGUAGCACCAAGUGCUUCGUGCUAUUAAUAGUUGAGCUAGAAUAUUAUUGGUAGCAAAUAGGCUUUAUUGCCAUCUAUUUGUUUUCGAUGAUAUAACUCUAAAUCGAUGAUCGGCACCAUUGAGUAUAAUCUAUACCACUUGAAAUAUGUAGAAGCAAAUUUCAAAUUUUUUUGAUAUUAUUGACCUAAUGAUCAAAAGGUUUUAAAAUUUGUGAUUUUAAUGAUCGAUAUGAGGCAUUUUCACGUUUAACGGUGUAAAGAUAUCCAAAUCAAUUAAAUUUUGGUUACCGACCGUCCCUAGCGCAAGUGGCAAAAGGGUUUGAUGGUUGGUACCCGAGACCCAAAUUCGAAUCCUAGUUGACUCACAUUUCUAGCUAAGUUUAUUUCUAAAUGAAAUAAACGAAGCGGGUAGCAUGCUACCUAUCUCUCAAAUAAAUAAAUAAAUAAAUAUAUUUUGGUUAUAAAAUUUUUUAAACUACUUAGAAUAAGAUAUAUUUUCUCGAUCUUGAUUAUAAGAUUGGGCACUCUCCUAAAGUUGACACAUGUCCCCGACUAUAUAUUUGGUGCACCCGGUGCACUAUAAUACUAUAAAAAGUAUAUAUAUAUAUAUAUAUAUAUAUAUAUAUAUAUAUAUAUAUAUAUAUAUAUAUAUAUAUAUAUAUAUAUAUCCAGCUACAGUGCUUGUAAAAGCACCAAGCACUUGGUGUUUGUAAGUUUUUUAUUGUUAGAUCUACUCCUCAGAUCAUUUUCAACCAUUAGAUUAUGCUAUUCAACCAACCACCCACUCAACCCUAGGGGUCCACAUCAUUCUAACCGCAUAUCUCUUAAUCUAAUGGCUAAAAAUCUACAAGCACCAAUAACUUGGUACUUUUAAAAGCAAUAGGAGCUCAAUUCUAUAUAUAUAUAUGUAGAGUGAGGCUACUAUGCUAUCGGAAGCACGGAGCCUUCCGUGCUUCCAGCUCGUUUUCGAUGUUGCGACUUUCGAAUCGUCGAUCGGCUCCGUUUGAUCUAGAGCAUUUGAAGUACCAAGAAAAUAAAUUUUAUGAUUUUAUGAUAUUCUUUGCCUAGUGAACGAAGGGGCUCAAAAUCAACGGCUGAAAAUAAAAAUCUUACAAAAUGUAAUAAUAUGACAUUAAAAUUUUAAAUCAAAGAUAUUGAUCUUGUUUUAUAUAGUGUAAAGAAUUUUCUAUCAAAAUUUCACGUGAUUUGGAUAUUUCUACACCGUUAAACUUGCAAACGGCUCACUACGGCCAUUGAAAUUUGUUGAUUUUGAGC